This 694-nucleotide ribosomal RNA is filed under the name uncultured bacterium. RNAcentral's name for it is "bacterial SSU rRNA". It matches the Rfam family "Bacterial small subunit ribosomal RNA", at positions 148 to 858 of the family's 1533-position model. The record is from RNAcentral.
AGUUGGAAACGACUGCUAAUACCGCAUAAGCCCACGGCUCGGCAUCGAGCAGGGGGAAAAGGAGCAAUCCGCUUUGAGAUGGCCUCGCGUCCGAUUAGCUAGUUGGUGAGGCAAUGGCCCACCAAGGCGACGAUCGGUAGCCGGACUGAGAGGUUGAACGGCCACAUUGGGACUGAGACACGGCCCAGACUCCUACGGGAGGCAGCAGUGGGGAAUAUUGCACAAUGGGGGAAACCCUGAUGCAGCGACGCCGCGUGGAGGAAGAAGGUCUUCGGAUUGUAAACUCCUGUUGUUGAGGAAGAUAAUGACGGUACUCAACAAGGAAGUGACGGCUAACUACGUGCCAGCAGCCGCGGUAAAACGUAGGUCACAAGCGUUGUCCGGAAUUACUGGGUGUAAAGGGAGCGCAGGCGGGAGAACAAGUUGGAAGUGAAAUCCAUGGGCUCAACCCAUGAACUGCUUUCAAAACUGUUUUUCUUGAGUAGUGCAGAGGUAGGCGGAAUUCCCGGUGUAGCGGUGGAAUGCGUAGAUAUCGGGAGGAACACCAGUGGCGAAGGCGGCCUACUGGGCACCAACUGACGCUGAGGCUCGAAAGUGUGGGUAGCAAACAGGAUUAGAUACCCUGGUAGUCCACACCGUAAACGAUGAUUACUAGGUGUUGGAGGAUUGACCCCUUCAGUGCCGCAGUUAACAC